Molecule: ribosomal RNA, 578 nt
Filed under: fungal sp. TZ-2013
Lineage: Eukaryota; Fungi
Description: eukaryotic LSU rRNA
Rfam family: 5.8S ribosomal RNA (bases 227-380)
Source: RNAcentral
UGAACCUGCGGAGGGAUCAUUACAGAGUUAUCUAAACUCCCAAACCCAUGUGAACAUACCUCGCGUUGCCUCGGCAGGUGGCGUCCUACCCCGUGAUACCUACCCCGUGAUACCUACCCUGUAGGACCUACCCUGUAGGACCUACCCGGUAGGCGACCCUGCCGACGGCCCCCGAAACUCUGUUUUUAUAGCAUUGGACUUCUGAAAAGAUAACUAAAUAAGUUAAAACUUUCAACAACGGAUCUCUUGGUUCUGGCAUCGAUGAAGAACGCAGCGAAAUGCGAUAAGUAAUGUGAAUUGCAGAAUUCAGUGAAUCAUCGAAUCUUUGAACGCACAUUGCGCCCACUAGUAUUCUGGUGGGCAUGCCUGUUCGAGCGUCAUUUCAACCCUUAAGCCCCCGUUGCUUAGUGUUGGGAGCCUACUGGAACUCUCCUGUAGCUCCCCAAAGUCAGUGGCGGAGCCGGUUCGCACUCCAGACGUAGUAGCUUUUACACAUCGCCUGUAGCUUGGACCCGGUCCCCUGCCGUAAAACACCCCCCAAUUUUAUAGGUGACCUCGGAUCAGUAGAUCCCCACCGC